CCAAAAUCUCUUUCCUUUGUAUUCAAAAUUCUCCACUUUCUUCUCUAAAACUCUAAUUCUACAAAUCAAUACUAAAAAUAAAUGGCAACACUUGAGUGAGAAUUAUGAGAAUUUGGAGCAGCAAAGAAGGCGGCCACCAUAUGCAUCAACAAUUCAUAGAAGAAAACUCAAAUGGAGGUUAUUGUUUCAGCAACUCUCCAAAAACUAAUAUUUGGGUAUUAUUCUUUCAUUUCAUCCUUAGUUUUCUCGAGGCUAUUAAGAGCUUCCAAUUAAUGUCAAAUCUCUCCAAAAACUAUAAUAAGUUAAAUAAAAUUUUUUGUUUUGGUGCUUGACUUUCGUGAAUGAAUUUUUUCAUUUCAGUUGUUUUGGGUUUAAUUCAAGUUGUGUUGAUUUAUUUUUAUCUUGCAGAUUCAUUUUACAUGGAUAUUAGUAAUGACUUCUGUAAAUUGUGAGGUAUUUCAAAAUACUCAAAUGAAUAAUGCACGUAUAGCCUUCACAUAUGAGCUAAUGGAUUUGGCCAUUUCUUAGCCACUUGCUGAAAACUAAUGUAUUGAUUAUUUUGGGUUAAAAAUAAUCUACAUGUCAGAGGUUAUGGCUUGUUUUAGCACUGCAGUUGCUUGAUAUCCGGUUUUAAAAUCAAUUUCAUGCACUGAUUCGUGGCAAAAUCAAGGGAUGAAUGUUGUGAUUCAACGCUAUAAAACCAGUUGCAGUGACUGAUUAUGUGUGAAAACUUUUCUUAUCUUCUUUUCCAUUUUCAUUAAAGCUAUACACUUUACCUAGAAAAUGAAUUAAAUUAGCUGUUUGAAUCAACUAUAGUUUGGAAUGUGCUAUUGCAGUUGGAACGCUAUUAAAUCUUGGAAGAUCAUACUGUCUUUGAUUCCUUUACGCACCCGAAAAUUAUCCGAGAAGGGCAUAAUCUAUUCUUGAAGGACAAUGCUCCAUUGGCACGCCUUUGGCUUGCUAAUUUCAUCACUUUCUGUGUUUGUGUUUAUUAAUUAUUGUUUUGCAGUUCUACAUUUAUCAGCUGGAUUAUUUGAAGAGUUGUUGAACCGAGAACAAGUGAAGUUGCUGGACAAUUGAAUAAACUUGGUUUGCUGCAGAUUAUUGUCAAACUUGGUGGCAUGAAUUUUUUAGUUCAAUUUGGCUUUUAAUUUAUUAGUGGUGGGCCUUCCUUACAAAGUCACUUCCACUAAUCUUCUUUGUAUUUUUGUGGCUGUAGAAAGAGCUCUUGGUGGCUGGAGAAUUUAGUUUCUGGGCUUUUACAUGCUGAUAUUUUAUAAAUAUCAAAAUUCAUUAUUCUUGUAACAACUUCAAGUUCAAAUAUUAAUGCUAAUUUGUUUGAGCUAUUGAGAUUUUAGGAUUGGAUAUGGUGAUUGUUAGUGGAUUUAAGGUUUAAGUUUGGUUGUGACUUCAAAUUCAAC
Molecule: long non-coding RNA, 1421 nt
Filed under: Citrus sinensis (sweet orange)
Lineage: Eukaryota; Viridiplantae; Streptophyta; Magnoliopsida; Sapindales; Rutaceae
Description: long non-coding RNA (CSIN_LNC004059)
Source: RNAcentral